AUUUGAACUGGAAUUGAAUUAAUUCUGACUCUAAAGCCUGUUCAGUGUCACAGAGUGGUCAAAUACAAUGGCCUCUGGGGCCCAGAGUCAGGGUUCCAUUUCUGGCUUGCCUAUGAUUUGGGGUAAGCUAUGUAACCUCUCUGGGCCUAUUUCUUUUUCUGUAAUAUGGGAAUAAUUACACUGUUUACAUAAUAAAUGGUUUUGUGAAAUUAGAAUUGCUCAGGACAAUGUGUGGCCCAGAAUAAAAAUAGUAAACAUUGUAUCUAUUCUAAUGGAUUGUGUGUUCUCCACACAGCCUCCCUUUUUACUCCAGUUCAUAAACCCAGGGCCCUGCUUCUUUUUACCAAGUUAAUAUUGUGUAACCCUGUAUUUUCCUUAGAAUGUGAAACUGUAGAGAGGAACAGAGUGUGACUAGUCAGGCUUUCCUUUUAUUUGACAUCCCAGGUCUUCCUACAUACAUUCAG
This 464-nucleotide long non-coding RNA is filed under the name Marmota monax (woodchuck). The record is from RNAcentral. Lineage: Eukaryota; Metazoa; Chordata; Mammalia; Rodentia; Sciuridae.